UGCGGGAGGAGCCGCCGCGCCGUGUCCCGGGGGCGUGGCCCCUGGUACGUGCGCUCCAUUCUCAUUGGUGCCGCACCCGGAAGAUCCGCUGGCCCCUGCGCGGUGGGGCCGCCGCGCUGCAUUCCCUUUCCCCGAGGAGAUGGCGGUGGCGGCGCGACGGCGGCCGCGGGAGCCAGAACGGCAGGAGCGGGAGCAGGACGAUGGUGGGCGGGUGAUGUCACGAUCCCUAUCGGGACAGUCCUACUGGCUGGACUUGUGGCUCUUCAUCCUCUUCGACCUGGCGCUUUUCCUGUUUAUCUACCUGCUGCCCUGAGGGCGCGGCCCAGGGCCGUUGCCACCAAGGGAAUUCUCACCUAUUUCGCACCUUAUGAACACAGGUGGUGGAAGAGGAGGGCCAUUUGUGCGGGAUAAGCAACUGGGAACAGGACUCCACUUGAGUCUGGAUGGAGGAGGCACAUUUUUGUACUGUACUGUGAUAGAUCUCUGUGUCACAAGUGUUACUGUGUUCUGUUCGUGUGUCCUAAACUGUGCCUCACAGGUUACGUACAAUAGACUGACUGUGCUUUGUGAUUAGUGCCUAAAGGUUUGUUGGGCAGAAAUGGAAGUAUGCACUGUGUGAAUAAAAUCCACUGAAAGGACACCCUGCAGAGUGGCUGAGAAUAAAACCCAGCUCUUCUGUACACUGAAGUUGUAACUCAGGCAUGUUCCCUCAACAGAUGAAGCUUGGCCAGCUGUUCUGCUUCUGAAAAGUUAAUCCUGAUGGGUUGAUGCUGGUUGGUUUUCUAUAAUACCUUUCUCUGUUUUUUCUUUACCUUCAGCAGUUACUGAGCCCUCUCAGGCUCAGUAUUUAUAGAUAUAAAUAUAUACAUAUAUAAACUAUGUCAGUGUUUAACCCAGCAGCAGUGUCCUGUCCUCACUUACUGAUUAAGAUAAAUCAGGUUCUCAUUUCCUUGAAAUUUCUCAUUUCACAGAAACUGUGAAGGAGGAACUUACAAGAUCCCUCCUCCUCACCAUCCAUAGAUGGUGUAAGUAGACAGUGACAGGUAAUUAAAAGCUUUCAACAUCAAUUUCCUCUGUCUCACUAGAGGGAGACUUUCAAACUUGUGUUAAAGGGAGGAGUCUCUUGGAGUCUUUGGAGAAAGAAACAGAAGCUGAGCACAUGGAGUGAAGUUUUUGUCAGGGCACAUUUGGGGGAAGACAGUUUUCAAGCUAUGGAUGAAGGGGAUUCAGUUAUCCUUAGCAUUUUUCCCUUGGGAAUACUAAUUUCAAGAAGUAUAAUCCAUGCUUGGUGGUUGUGUUUGUUUUUUUUUUUUUUUCCAGGAGUACAUAUAACAAAAUAACUGGAUUGCAGAUAUUUGGAAGUGCAGAGUGGUUCAGUGGUGCAGUGUCUUCCCACACAAUAACUGAAAAUGAGCCAGGAUGAGGUUAAUAGGAUUAAUACGAUUGUGGAUGCAAAAAUAGACUGAUGCUCUUUCCUUUUAUUUUUACUCAAUUGGGAGGACAAUUUUACAGUUGGCAGCAGUUUGUUUCGUGUGUCAGCCCUGUGCUGUAAGAACAGAGAUGCUGUGCCCUGCUGGCAUUUAUCAUUAUGAUCCUGACUCAAGGUGCACAGGAGCCCUGAACUGUGACUGCAUUCUCACAAACACCAGAAUGGGGGUUCCAGUUUUUGAAUGAGGCCAUUAAAGAGACAAGUUCACUACAUUCACUACCUUUUUAUACCCCCCCUUCUGGCAUGAUAUCACAAGUGAAGUUCCCAGUGAACAAUCAGGAAAAGACUGUAAUGUUACUCCAUUUCUUUUUUGAUAAGGAAGACAGGUGAGAUUUAAAGGCUUAGAAAGUUGACUUUCAAGCUAUCUUCCACUAAUUUAGUUUUCUCCUUCAACCAGAUCUGACAUAAAAGAUUCUGCUUAUCUCAGAAAACUUGAGAGCUAACAAAGUGCAGGCUGGUGUUGCAGUGGUCUCCAGGUGUUCCAUAGGCACAUGGAACUCCUAAGUACAGAGAUCCAGCUAACCACAUCUUCUUACGGAAUUAAUAACAUCCAUCCAAACCUGCUGCCGCAAGGUGUGCACACCCAAGGGACCACAUGGAAUACAAACUGAAGAAGACAAGCUGAGUAACAGAGAUUUUGGAGGUGCACCUGUUUGCCUUAAUGGACUAUUUCGCAACUCUUCCAUUGAUUUUACAUCUGCUACCGAGUUAUUCUCUGAUCCUGCCAAUGUGCUCAGAGCAUAUUUCUUCGGAGCUGGCUGGAGAGCUGAUGAUGGGAAAAAUUUCCUGUUGGUGUCAGGCAUUUCAGCUCUAAAAUACAAAACCACACAGGAUAGAUUACACAAACAAACAAAAUACAACAGGACAAUCUCUUUCAAGAUUUGAAAUUAAUCAGAAUAACCAUUUUGAAGAUAAUCUGCAUGGAAGGUCAGAUCUUAGAAUCUGGAGGAAAUUUUCUGCAUUUUCUUGUUACCAGAAAAUAGGCUGUGAUGAUUUUCCCUCCAAGCCCGACUCCCGGAGGAGCCCGCAGGCUCCCGAGGCAAUGCCGCAGGCGGCCGGGAGGUGGCAGCAGAGGCCAGCGAGCGGCUCCCUAGGGCACAUCAGCCGCGCCAGGUGCUUCGUGCCCGCGGAAUUCCAGCGAAUAUAAAAAUAGAUGUGUUAUUUUCCCUUCUGCUGACAGGACAGCCAUGCACGGUUAAAACUAGACGCCGGGUCGAUUGGGAAUUUUGGCUCUACAUUCUCUGCAAACCUGAGUAUGGGACACACAAGCCCUGCUCAGCUGGAGCCCGGCAUCCUUAUCAAUGAGUCAUUAAGAGCCGAGCAAUAAACGAAAGGUUCUGACAUAUAAA
Vidua chalybeata is the source of this 2838-nucleotide long non-coding RNA. RefSeq lists it as uncharacterized. The transcript has 7 exons. The record is from RefSeq and is a predicted model, not a curated record. NCBI's taxonomy places the organism in Eukaryota, Metazoa, Chordata, Aves, Passeriformes, Viduidae.